AACGGGUGAAUAACGCGUAUGUCCCCUGCCUGGUCGCGGGGGAUAUCUAGUGAAAAAUAUCUCUAAUACCGCAUAAGAAUAUAUAUCGCGUGAUUUGUGCUUAAAGGGCGCUUGUGUCCCUCUACCAUAUGGACCUGCUGUGUAUUAUCUAUGUGGGGGGGAAACGGCUCCCCGGGGACAAUAUACAUACCACAUCUGAGAGGGAGAUCGGCCACUGUGGCAGUGACACACGGCCCACACUCCUACGGGAGGCAGCAAUGGGAAAUCUUCGGAUGUGGACAGAACUCAGACAGAACCACCCCGCGAGAGAGAAAAGGGUUCUCAGAUCAUAAAUCUCUGGUGUAAGAAAAAAAAGAGUGAGAGAGUGGAAAGCUCACUGUGUGACUGUCUCUUACCAGAGAGACACGGCUAUCUACGUGACAGCACGCGCGGAUAUACAUGUGUCGAGAGCGGUGUGGAUAUUUUUUGGGUAUAGCGAGAGCAGGCGCUGAGAUAUAUCUCAGAAGAAAAGUCUGUCUCAAAACAUAGCACGCUGUGGACUGUGUAAACGAGAGUGCGAGAGGGAGAGUGAAUUAUGUGUGUAGCUGUGAUGUGCAUAGAUAUAUAGAGCACGCUGUGGCGAGCGCGCUCUCUGGCGUGUCUGUGACGCAGACGCUCGAGCGCGUGAGCGCAACGAGUAUAUAUACUGUGAUAGUACACGCGUACGCGAGAGCG
This 714-nucleotide ribosomal RNA is filed under the name uncultured bacterium. Its description in RNAcentral is "bacterial SSU rRNA". It matches the Rfam family "Bacterial small subunit ribosomal RNA", at positions 101 to 814 of the family's 1533-position model. The record is from RNAcentral.